Molecule: ribosomal RNA, 497 nt
Filed under: uncultured bacterium
Lineage: Bacteria
Description: partial 16S ribosomal RNA
Rfam family: Bacterial small subunit ribosomal RNA
Source: RNAcentral
GAUGAACGCUGGCGGCGUGCCUAAUACAUGCAAGUCGAGCGAACGGACGAGAAGCUUGCUUCUCUGAUGUUAGCGGCGGACGGGUGAGUAACACGUGGAUAACCUACCUAUAAGACUGGGAUAACUUCGGGAAACCGGAGCUAAUACCGGAUAAUAUUUUGAACCGCAUGGUUCAAAAGUGAAAGACGGUCUUGCUGUCACUUAUAGAUGGAUCCGCGCUGCAUUAGCUAGUUGGUAAGGUAACGGCUUACCAAGGCAACGAUGCAUAGCCGACCUGAGAGGGUGAUCGGCCACACUGGAACUGAGACACGGUCCAGACUCCUACGGGAGGCAGCAGUAGGGAAUCUUCCGCAAUGGGCGAAAGCCUGACGGAGCAACGCCGCGUGAGUGAUGAAGGCCUUCGGAUCGUAAAACUCUGUUAUUAGGGAAGAACAUAUGUGUAAGUAACUGUGAACAUCUUGACGGUACCUAAUCAGAAAGCCACGGCUAACUACGUG